GAGUUUGAUCUUGGCUCAGAUUGAACGCUGGCGGCAUGCCUUACACAUGCAAGUCGAACGGCAGCACGGGAGCUUGCUCCUGGUGGCGAGUGGCGAACGGGUGAGUAAUGCAUCGGAACGUAUCCUGGAGUGGGGGAUAACGUAGCGAAAGUUACGCUAAUACCGCAUAUUCUGUGAGCAGGAAAGCGGGGGACCUUCGGGCCUCGCGCUCUUGGAGCGGCCGAUGUCGGAUUAGCUAGUUGGUGAGGUAAAGGCUCACCAAGGCGACGAUCCGUAGCAGGUCUGAGAGGAUGAUCUGCCACACUGGAACUGAGACACGGUCCAGACCCUACGGGAGGCAGCAGU
RNAcentral lists this ribosomal RNA (345 nucleotides) under bacterium enrichment culture clone ALO1_GLFRUDD03GHIE0. Its description in RNAcentral is "bacterial SSU rRNA". It matches the Rfam family "Bacterial small subunit ribosomal RNA", at positions 9 to 355 of the family's 1533-position model. The record is from RNAcentral.